RNAcentral lists this ribosomal RNA (254 nucleotides) under uncultured bacterium. Its description in RNAcentral is "partial 16S ribosomal RNA". It matches the Rfam family "Bacterial small subunit ribosomal RNA", at positions 526 to 779 of the family's 1533-position model. The record is from RNAcentral.
CGUAGGGUGCAAGCGUUAAUCGGAAUUACUGGGCGUAAAGCGUGCGCAGGCGGUUUUGUAAGACAGUGGUGAAAUCCCCGGGCUCAACCUGGGAACUGCCAUUGUGACUGCAAGGCUAGAGUGCGGCAGAGGGGGAUGGAAUUCCGCGUGUAGCAGUGAAAUGCGUAGAUAUGCGGAGGAACACCGAUGGCGAAGGCAAUCCCCUGGGCCUGCACUGACGCUCAUGCACGAAAGCGUGGAGAGCAAACAGGAUU